This 755-nucleotide ribosomal RNA is filed under the name uncultured Pseudomonadota bacterium. Its description in RNAcentral is "bacterial SSU rRNA". It matches the Rfam family "Bacterial small subunit ribosomal RNA", at positions 28 to 773 of the family's 1533-position model. Lineage: Bacteria; Pseudomonadati; Pseudomonadota. The record is from RNAcentral.
AUUGAACGCUGGCGGCAGGCCUAACACAUGCAAGUCGAACGGUACAGGAAGAAGCUUGCUUCUUUGCUGACGAGUGGCGGACGGGUGAGUAAUGUCUGGGAAACUGCCUGAUGGAGGGGGAUAACUACUGGAAACGGUAGCUAAUACCGCAUAACGUCGCAAGACCAGAGAGGGGGACCUUCGGGCCUCUUGCCAUCGGAUGUGCCCAGAUGGGAUUAGCUAGUAGGUGGGGUAACGGCUCACCUAGGCGACGAUCCCUAGCUGGUCUGAGAGGAUGACCAGCCACACUGGAACUGAGACACGGUCCAGACUCCUACGGGAGGCAGCAGUGGGGAAUAUUGCACAAUGGGCGCAAGCCUGAUGCAGCCAUGCCGCGUGUAUGAAGAAGGCCUUCGGGUUGUAAAGUACUUUCAGCGGGGAGGAAGGGAGUAAAGUUAAUACCUUUGCUCAUUGACGUUACCCGCAGAAGAAGCACCGGCUAACUCCGUGCCAGCAGCCGCGGUAAUACGGAGGGUGCAAGCGUUAAUCGGAAUUACUGGGCGUAAAGCGCACGCAGGCGGUUUGUUAAGUCAGAUGUGAAAUCCCCGGGCUCAACCUGGGAACUGCAUCUGAUACUGGCAAGCUUGAGUCUCGUAGAGGGGGGUAGAAUUCCAGGUGUAGCGGUGAAAUGCGUAGAGAUCUGGAGGAAUACCGGUGGCGAAGGCGGCCCCCUGGACGAAGACUGACGCUCAGGUGCGAAAGCGUGGGGAGCAAAC